Molecule: ribosomal RNA, 492 nt
Filed under: uncultured bacterium
Lineage: Bacteria
Description: partial 16S ribosomal RNA
Rfam family: Bacterial small subunit ribosomal RNA
Source: RNAcentral
AUUGAACGCUGGCGGCAUGCUUUACACAUGCAAGUCGAACGGUAACAUGCCUUCGGGUGCUGACGAGUGGCGAACGGGGGAGUAAUGCGUCGGAACGUACCCAGAGACGGGGAAUAACGCAUCCUAAGCUGUGCUAAUACCUCAGGUGAUCGGAUUAUUAAAUCGGGGGACCGACCAGCAAUGUUUGGCCUCGCGCCGUUGAAGCGGCCGAUGUCGGAUUAGCUAGUUGGUGGGGUAAAUGCCUACCAAGGCGACGAUCCGAAGCUGGUCUGAGAGGACGACCAGCCACACUGGGACUGAGAAACGGCCGACACUCCUACGGGAGGCAGCAGUGGGGAAUUUUGGACAAUGGGCGCAAGCCUGAUCCAGCAAUGCCGCGUGCGGGAAGAAGGCCUUCGGGUUGUAAACCGCUUUUGGCAGGAACGAAACAGUGUCCGCUAAUACCGGGCGAUAAUGACGGUACCUGAAGAAUAAGCACCGGCUAACUACGUG